Non-coding RNA from Picea glauca (white spruce), 72 nucleotides. Lineage: Eukaryota; Viridiplantae; Streptophyta; Pinopsida; Pinales; Pinaceae. The record is from Rfam.
GGGACUGUAGUUUACUGGUGAAAAUUCCACGUUGUGGUCGUGCAGACCUGUGCUCGAAUCCCAGCAGCUACA